RNAcentral lists this ribosomal RNA (468 nucleotides) under uncultured bacterium. RNAcentral describes it as "partial 16S ribosomal RNA". It matches the Rfam family "Bacterial small subunit ribosomal RNA", at positions 28 to 507 of the family's 1533-position model. The record is from RNAcentral.
GACGAACGCUGGCGGCGUGCUUAACACAUGCAAGUCGAACGGAAAGGCCCUGCUUUUGUGGGGUGCUCGAGUGGCGAACGGGUGAGUAACACGUGAGUAACCUGCCCUUGACUUUGGGAUAACUUCAGGAAACUGGGGCUAAUACCGGAUAGGAGCUCCUGCUGCAUGGUGGGGGUUGGAAAGUUUCGGCGGUUGGGGAUGGACUCGCGGCUUAUGAGCUUGUUGGUGGGGUAGUGGCUUACCAGGGCUUUGACGGGUAGCCGGCCUGAGAGGGUGACCGGCCACAUUGGGACUGAGAUACGGCCCAGACUCCUACGGGAGGCAGCAGGGGGGAAUAUUGCACAAUGGGCGGAAGCCUGAUGCAGCGACGCCGCGUGCGGGAUGACGGCUUUUGGGUUGUAAACCGCUUUCGCCUGUGACGAAGCGUGAGUGACGGUAAUGGGUAAAGAAGCACCGGCUAACUACGUG